RNAcentral lists this transfer RNA (83 nucleotides) under Mycobacterium phage Fezzik. RNAcentral describes it as "tRNA-Leu". The record is from RNAcentral. Lineage: Duplodnaviria; Heunggongvirae; Uroviricota; Caudoviricetes; Vilmaviridae.
GUGGUCCAUGCGCGGUUAUCGGGCGUAUUAGUUCAAGCCUGGUCCGAUGACUAAGCAGUCCGGUUCGAUUCCGGAGUAUCGCG